This 416-nucleotide ribosomal RNA is filed under the name uncultured bacterium. RNAcentral's name for it is "bacterial SSU rRNA". It matches the Rfam family "Bacterial small subunit ribosomal RNA", at positions 358 to 774 of the family's 1533-position model. The record is from RNAcentral.
GGAAUCUUCCACAAUGGGCGCAAGCCUGAUGGAGCAACACCGCGCGAGUGAAGAAGGGCUUCGGCUCGUAAAGCUCUUUUAUCCCGGACGAAUGACCUAUUAGAUAGGUAGAGACGGUACGGGGUGAAUAAGCCACGGCGAACUACGUGCCAGCAGCCGCGGUAAUACGUAGGUGGCAAGCGUUAUCCGGAUUUAUUGGGCGUAAAGCGAGCGCAGGCGGUUUGAUAAGUCUGAUGUGAAAGCCUUUGGCUUAACCAAAGAAGUGCAUCGGAAACUGUCAGACUUGAGUGCAGAAGAGGACAGUGGAACUCCAUGUGUAGCGGUGAAAUGCGUAGAUAUAUGGAAGAACACCAGUGGCGAAGGCGGCUGUCUGGUCUGUAACUGACGCUGAGGCUCGAAAGCAUGGGUAGCGAACA